RNAcentral lists this transfer RNA (82 nucleotides) under Bacteroidales bacterium. RNAcentral's name for it is "tRNA-Leu". It matches the Rfam family "tRNA". From Rfam's summary of the family: Transfer RNA (tRNA) molecules are approximately 80 nucleotides in length. The record is from RNAcentral. Lineage: Bacteria; Pseudomonadati; Bacteroidota; Bacteroidia; Bacteroidales.
GCGGAUGUGGCGUAACUGGUAGCCGUGCUAGACUUAGGAUCUAGUGCCGAAAGGCGUGGGGGUUCGAGUCCCUUCAUCCGCA